AGAAACGCUUCUGCCUUGGAUGGA
Molecule: non-coding RNA, 24 nt
Filed under: Arabidopsis thaliana (thale cress)
Lineage: Eukaryota; Viridiplantae; Streptophyta; Magnoliopsida; Brassicales; Brassicaceae
Source: RNAcentral